GCGCCUCCCGCCGCACCUGAGGGCGAGGGCGGCGGCGGGGCCGGGAGCGGGGCCGGAGCCCUGCGGGGACGGGAAGGCAGCCGGCUGGGGCUCCCCACGGCGUUGCCUGUGGGAGUGGCGGCCGGGAAUUCGGCGGCGCGAUGCCCGCCCUGGCGACAGCGUCCCGGCGCUGAGGGGGUCGCGCUGCCCCUCGGCUGAGGUGGGCAUGUGGGGCGGGGCGAUGGCGGCGGCCCCGGCCCGAGGCCUGGGUCUCGCUCUGUUUCCCCAUCAGGGUUUCUGUUCAGCUCAGACCACGGAUUAAAGCCUCUCUCCCAACAGCAAUUCAGCUCUUUUAUCAGAAGAAAUGCUUCCGUGUAAGAUUGUAUUGCAGCCUCUCCCUUGAGGGAAGUAGAGUACCGUAAGCAUGUACUGGCUGAAUUUGCACAAGCUCGUGCUCUGCGAUUCAUCUCAAGCCAGCGGCAGCGUUCAGUGUUGCUCACCCAGGGUCUUCAACUGGGGAAGGCAGCUGAGAAGCACCAGCCUGGUAGUCAGUGAAGAGGUUGCGGCGGUAGGAGCAUCACUGUGUGAGCAGAGCUCCUGGCAGGAGCCAGCACUGGGGGUAGGACAUGGCACCUUCCAGGCUCACUCAGGGGCGGCCUAAUACAGCUCAGCAUGGUUGCACUACAAAGAUCGGCUUUCUAAUUGAGUGAGAUCAUUCAUGUGAGAAGAAUUCCACAUUGAAGCUAUCUGAAAACUAUUUUAUAUUAUACAGGUACACCACUGGUAGGAAGUAUUAACAAUAGUUACUGAGUUUCCCCUCCUUUUCCAAAUUCAGAGGUAAGCAUGACAUUUUUUCUUGACCUGCAUCUCAUUUCAGUGUAGUUUUGAACACGGUACAGUCAGGUACGUUUUUUGUCUGCUUUGGAUGUUGUCAUUGAGACAUGUCAUCUUUGGGAUCCACACUGAAUGAAAAUCAGAGAGCUUUCAAGCAGGCAUUUUUUUUAUUGUAGAGGUGUAUAUUUUAUAUUAAAUUUGGACUGUAUUAAAUGCACUUUAAUUACAUUAUUAAUUUAAAUAAUAUUUGAUUUAAAUAAAACACCAAGAGAACUUGAUUUAAAGAACUGAUUCAGUUUCCACAUUGAUUGCUACAAAACCAACUAAUUUCAUGCAGCGUUUGAAGAACUAGAAGCCAGAGCUGAUUUCUUAGCUAGUAUGUAACUACAGCCAAAGUGUUCUGCACACAGAUGUAAAGGUGAUGAUGUUUUGAGGCUGGCUGCAUUCUGAGGCAGUACUCCUACAAAAGGAAUGAUACCAAUCUGAAAAUGGACUGUGUUGCCCAGCUACUUCUCUACCUUGCACCUAAACUAUUUCCACACAUUAUAGUUGGUUUAGUUUAAUACAGUAACAACCCUCUACUAACCUCUAGAUUUUAGGUGAUACAGCUUUUACUUUGUAAAACAUAAAAUAGCUUUUCUUUUGAAAUGCCAGUGUUAAAAUUCCAUACCUCUGGCAAACUCAGUUGAAUGCAGUUCACACAUUCAGUUUAAUGUAGACCUGUUUUUUAGUUAAAUAAGAGAAAACAAACCUGACAAACAUAGAUACAGGAGAUUUUAUUUAACAUUGUGUACAAAGAAAGGCUACAAAUGCCUUUUUUCCCCAAAUACAGUUUUUGGAUCCCUUUUUCAUACCACUUUUCUCAGAAAAUUAAAAAAAAAAUAAUCCAGAAUUACAUUCCCCACCCUUUUUUUCCCCUUUCCUUUUUCCCCUCUUUGGGCCUAAACUGAGAGAUGUUUAGCAGUACAGUUUCAACACCUUUCAGUAUUAAACUAUUAGGUUUUCUUUUCCAAAACCAGAGCGCUAUGGGAUACUGAAGCACUAUCAACAGCAGUAUAAAAUGUCAAAAACUGACUCUGUAACAUGGUAGUGUUAAAACAAUGCCAACAACAUUAACUCUGAUGAAACCCCAAAUUAGCCAAAUAGCAAGUUGUCUUCUACACCUGAUAAUUUAGCACUGAUUAUAUAAUUUAAUUGUAUUUAUAUUUAAAUAAAUAGUCUUAACUCCUUUUCUUGGAAUUCUU
Chroicocephalus ridibundus (black-headed gull) is the source of this 2057-nucleotide long non-coding RNA. RefSeq lists it as uncharacterized. The record is from RefSeq and is a predicted model, not a curated record. The transcript has 3 exons. NCBI's taxonomy places the organism in Eukaryota, Metazoa, Chordata, Aves, Charadriiformes, Laridae.